GUUGAUUCUAGAUCCGGGUUCCAGAUAUGAUUUCAGAUUUCUUACUGAAUUUCGAUAGGUAAUUCAGUAAGAAUUCACAGCAUACGCAGGCUUGAAGCAAGCAGAACUUGCCAUCUUUGAGCAACUCAAAUUGAUAACAGGCUACCUCCUUCAGCUAAUCCCGUUUUACCUUGGAAGAGCCACUCGAAUUUCUCAUUGACCGAAACGGAUGAGAGGUCUCAACUGUGGAAAGUGGGAUCAAUCGGCCAUGUUGGACCAAGAUGGCAGCAUCAAAACCAGAAGUCCAGACCAUCCAGACAAAGAAGUCCAAAAGUCCAG
Argiope bruennichi is the source of this 318-nucleotide long non-coding RNA. RefSeq lists it as uncharacterized. NCBI's taxonomy places the organism in Eukaryota, Metazoa, Arthropoda, Arachnida, Araneae, Araneidae. The record is from RefSeq and is a predicted model, not a curated record. The transcript is spliced from 3 exons.